CCUCCUUUCUAAGGAAGUCCCGGACGAAGCUUCUGUGACAAAACCUGGGUGACAAAUGCCUGGUUUUUGAUGCUUAGGUUUUUCCGAGACUCUGAGGACAAAUGGCGGUCCGCCACACUCGGCGGAGCGCCGCUACUACCGGCGUGCCGCCGUCUUCUCAUCUCUUCCAAUCCAGGGCAUCGGAGCAGGAAGGCUUCGGCCGGACUGAAGUCGGGCCUGUAGCUCAGCUGGUUAGAGCGCACGCCUGAUAAGCGUGAGGUCGGUAGUUCGAAUCUACCCAGGCCCACCAUCGUUUUCGGGGGUGUAGCUCAGUUGGGAGAGCGCCUGCUUUGCAAGCAGGAGGUCAUCGGUUCGAAUCCGUUCACCUCCACCAAGGUUUGCUUGGGAAUU
Molecule: transfer RNA, 390 nt
Filed under: uncultured Alphaproteobacteria bacterium
Lineage: Bacteria; Pseudomonadati; Pseudomonadota; Alphaproteobacteria
Description: partial 16S-23S ribosomal RNA intergenic spacer
Rfam family: tRNA (bases 213-286)
Source: RNAcentral